This 1439-nucleotide ribosomal RNA is filed under the name uncultured bacterium. RNAcentral's name for it is "bacterial SSU rRNA". It matches the Rfam family "Bacterial small subunit ribosomal RNA". The record is from RNAcentral.
AGGGUUUGAUCCUGGCUCAGAACGUACGCUGGCGGCACGCCUAAUACAUGCAAGUCGAACGAAGUAGCAAUACUUAGUGGCAGACGGGUGAGUAACAUGUAGGUAUCUUCCCUUUGGUGAGGAAUAACACGAGGAAACUUGUGCUAAUACCUCAUAAGUCUUUACGGAGAAAGCUUUAUGCGCCAUUGGAUGAGCCUGCACUUGAUUAGUUUGUUGGUGGGGUAAUGGCCUACCAAGACAAUGAUCAAUAGCUGAUUUGAGAGGAUGAUCAGCCACAUUGGGACUGAGACACGGCCCAAACUCCUACGGGAGGCAGCAGUAGGGAAUCUUGCACAAUGGGGGAAACCCUGAUGCAGCGAUGCCGCGUGAGUGAAGAAGGCCCUUGGGUUGUAAAGCUCUUUCGUCGGGGAAGAAAAUGACUGUACCCGAAUAAGAAGGUCCGGCUAACUUCGUGCCAGCAGCCGCGGUAAUACGAAGGGACCUAGCGUAGUUCGGAAUUACUGGGCUUAAAGAGUUCGUAGGUGGUUAAAAAAGUUGGUGGUGAAAUCCCAGAGCUUAACUCUGGAACUGCCAUCAAAACUUUUUAGCUAGAGUAUGAUAGAGGAAAGCAGAAUUUCUAGUGUAGAGGUGAAAUUCGUAGAUAUUAGAAAGAAUACCAAUUGCGAAGGCAGCUUUCUGGAUCAUUACUGACACUGAGGAACGAAAGCAUGGGUAGCGAAGAGGAUUAGAUACCCUCGUAGUCCAUGCCGUAAACGAUGUGUGUUAGACGUUGGAAAUUUAUUUUCAGUGUCGCAGCGAAAGCAAUAAACACACCGCCUGGGGAGUACGACCGCAAGGUUAAAACUCAAAUGAAUUGACGGGGACCCGCACAAGUAGUGGAGCAUGUGGUUUAAUUCGAAGAUACGCGCAGAACCUUACCAACACUUGACAUGUUCGUCGCGACUUUAAGAGAUUAAAGUUUUCGGUUCGGCCGGACGAAACACAGGUGCUGCAUGGCUGUCGUCAGCUCGUGUCGUGAGAUGUUGGGUUAAGUCCCGCAACGAGCGCAACCCUCACUUUUAGUUGCCAUCAUUUAGUUGGGCACUCUGAAAGAACUGCCAGUGAUAAGCUGGAGGAAGGUGGGGAUGACGUCAAGUCCUCAUGGCCCUUACGUGUUGGGCUACACACGUGCUACAAUGGCAUUUACAAUAGGAAGCAAAACGGCGACGUUAAGCAAAUCCUAAAAAAAUGCCUCAGUUCGGAUUGUACUCUGCAACUCGAGUACAUGAAGCUGGAAUUACUAGUAAUCGCGGAUCAGCGCGCCGCGGUGAAUACGUUCCCGGGUCUUGUACACACCGCCCGUCACACCAUGGGAGUUGGUUCUACCUUAAGGCAAAGGUUAAAAACUUUGACCACGGUAUAGUCAGCGACUGGGGUGAAGUCAUAACAAGGUAACCGUA